RNAcentral lists this ribosomal RNA (778 nucleotides) under Analges aff. passerinus B MD-2020. RNAcentral describes it as "partial large subunit ribosomal RNA". It matches the Rfam family "Eukaryotic large subunit ribosomal RNA", at positions 77 to 650 of the family's 3401-position model. Lineage: Eukaryota; Metazoa; Arthropoda; Arachnida; Sarcoptiformes; Analgidae. The record is from RNAcentral.
CCCUUAGUAACGGCGAGCGAAAAGGGAAGAGUCCAGCGCCAAGUCUUGACGCCAAAGCGUUCAAGAGAUGCGGCGUUAAUGUAUUAUCGCAUCGUACAUUGUUACCUGUUUCAAGUUCCCUUGACAGGGACAUCCAUAGCGGGUGCUAGGCCCAUAGAGGCAGGAAACCAGUGUGCGCAGAUAAUGCAUUCUAGAGUCAGGUUGCUUGAGAGUGCAGCUUAAAGUGGGUGGUAAACUCCAUCUAAGGCUAAAUAUGACAGCGAGACCGAUAGCAAACAAGUACCGUGAGGGAAAGUUGCAAAGCACUUUGAAGAGAGAGUUCAACAGUACGUGAAACCACUGGGAGGCAAACAGAUGGAACCACGAAGUUGCGCCUCGCUCGAUUCAAUCAUUGAUACUGGUUACCGGUUCUUGUGUGGAUCUUUUCGGAGAUUAGCAAGUGUCGUGGAACUGGUUUCAAUGGUGCAUUUCGUGUGAGGAUGCUAAGCCACGUUCGAUUAGAGUUGGGACGGCCGUAGGACAGAAUUCGAGGAAGGUGACCGGAAAGUGCUUGCAUUUUUCGGUGUUAUAGCCUUGAAUUGGUACCGUCGCCUAACAAACUGAUCGAUAGAAAUUCUCCUUAGGAGUUAAACUGUGUCUGCCUGUGACCAUUAGUCAACAUUUCGAAGUGUUCUUUACGUAUCUUUGGUGCGGAAAGGCAUUUCAACAAUGUUGGUUAGUGGUUGCUUGCGUGACAUGGUGGAACUGUGGCGCGAGUAGGUCGGUUUCCCUCUGACCC